AUUGAACGCUGGCGGCAGGCCUAACACAUGCAAGUCGAGCGGAUGAAGGGAGCUUGCUCCUGGACUCAGCGGCGGACGGGUGAGUAAUGCCUAGGAAUCUGCCUGGUAGUGGGGGAUAACGUCCGGAAACGGGCGCUAAUACCGCAUACGUCCUGAGGGAGAAAGUGGGGGGUCUUCGGACCUCACGCUAUCAGAUGAGCCUAGGUCGGAUUAGCUAGUUGGUGGGGUAAAGGCCUACCAAGGCGACGAUCCGUAACUGGUCUGAGAGGAUGAUCAGUCACACUGGAACUGAGACACGGUCCAGACUCCUACGGGAGGCAGCAGUGGGGAAUAUUGGACAAUGGGCGAAAGCCUGUUCCAGCCAUGCCGCGUGUGUGAAGAAGGUCUUCGGAUUGUAAAGCACUUUAAGUUGGGAGGAAGGGCAGUAAGUUAAUACCUUGCUGUUUUGACGUUACCAACAGAAUAAGCACCGGCUAACUUCGUG
This 484-nucleotide ribosomal RNA is filed under the name uncultured bacterium. Its description in RNAcentral is "partial 16S ribosomal RNA". It matches the Rfam family "Bacterial small subunit ribosomal RNA", at positions 30 to 507 of the family's 1533-position model. The record is from RNAcentral.